GCCUUUGGCUUAACCAAAGAAGUGCAUCGGAAACUGUCAGACUUGAGUGCAGAAGAGGACAGUGGAACUCCAUGUGUAGCGGUGGAAUGCGUAGAUAUUAUGGAAGAACACCAGUGGCGAAGGCGGCUGUCUGGUCUGCAACUGACGCUGAGGCUCGAAAGCAUGGGUAGCGAACAGGAUUAGAUACCCUGGUAGUCCAUGCCGUAAACGAUGAGUGCUAGGUGUUGGAGGGUUUCCGCCCUUCAGUGCCGCAGCUAACGCAUUAAGCACUCCGCCUGGGGAGUACGACCGCAAGGUUGAAACUCAAAGGAAUUGACGGGGGCCCGCACAAGCGGUGGAGCAUGUGGUUUAAUUCGAAGCUACGCGAAGAACCUUACCAGGUCUUGACAUCUUGCGCCAACCCUAGAGAUAGGGCGUUUCCUUCGGGAACGCAAUGACAGGUGGUGCAUGGUCGUCGUCAGCUCGUGUCGUGAGAUGUUGGGUUAAGUCCCGCAACGAGCGCAACCCUUGUUACUAGUUGCCAGCAUUCAGUUGGGCACUCUAGUGAGACUGCCGGUGACAAACCGGAGGAAGGUGGGGACGACGUCAGAUCAUCAUGCCCCUUAUGACCUGGGCUACACACGUGCUACAAUGGACGGUACAACGAGUCGCGAACUCGCGAGGGCAAGCUAAUCUCUUAAAACCGUUCUCAGUUCGGACUGCAGGCUGCAACUCGCCUGCACGAAGUCGGAAUCGCUAGUAAUCGCGGAUCAGCAUGCCGCGGUGAAUACGUUCCCGGGCCUUGUACACACCGCCCGUCACACCAUGAGAGUUUGCAACACCCAAAGUCGGU
RNAcentral lists this ribosomal RNA (832 nucleotides) under Limosilactobacillus mucosae. Its description in RNAcentral is "bacterial SSU rRNA". It matches the Rfam family "Bacterial small subunit ribosomal RNA", at positions 600 to 1431 of the family's 1533-position model. The record is from RNAcentral. Lineage: Bacteria; Bacillati; Bacillota; Bacilli; Lactobacillales; Lactobacillaceae.